RNAcentral lists this ribosomal RNA (404 nucleotides) under uncultured bacterium. RNAcentral's name for it is "bacterial SSU rRNA". It matches the Rfam family "Bacterial small subunit ribosomal RNA", at positions 355 to 775 of the family's 1533-position model. The record is from RNAcentral.
UGAGGGAUUUUCGGCAAUGGGCGAAAGCCUGACCGAGCGACGCCGCGUGAGCGAAGAAGGCCUUCGGGUCGUAAAGCUCUGUCUAGGGGGACGAGAGAGGACGGUACCCCUGGAGGAAGCCACGGCUAACUACGUGCCAGCAGCCGCGGUAAUACGUAGGUGGCGAGCGUUGUCCGGAAUUACUGGGCGUAAAGGGCGCGCAGGCGGCGCGUUAAGUCCGGGGUGGAAUCCCACGGCUCAACUGUGGGGGGACCCUGGAUACUGGCGUGCUGGAGUGCGGGAGAGGGAAGCGGAAUUCCACGUGUAACGGUGAAAUGUAUAGAUAUGUGGAGGAACACCGGUGGCGAAGGCGGCUUCCUGGACCGUAACUGACGCUGAGGCGCGAAAGCUGGGGGAGCGAACAG